UACGAGGGGUCCUAGCGUUGUUCGGAAUCAUUGGGCGUAAAGGGUGUGUAGGUGGCUAUGUAAGUCCGGUGUGAAAGCCCCGGGCUCAACCCGGGAAGUGCAUUUGAUACUGCGUAGCUUGAGUACCGAAGAGGAUAGUGGAAUUCCAGGUGUAGUGGUGAAAUACGUAGAUAUCUGGAGGAACACCGGUGGCGAAGGCGGCUAUCUGGUCGAGUACUGACACUGAGACACGAAAGCAUGGGGAUCAAACAGG
RNAcentral lists this ribosomal RNA (253 nucleotides) under uncultured bacterium. RNAcentral describes it as "partial 16S ribosomal RNA". It matches the Rfam family "Bacterial small subunit ribosomal RNA", at positions 524 to 776 of the family's 1533-position model. The record is from RNAcentral.